UACUCACUAUUGCACGCUCCUUCUGCAGUACUCUCUGCCUUUGGUAAUGGUCAUUUGAACGGUAAGAGCUGUACCUGACAAGAGAGGUACCAUCAGCCCCAGACACAAGUCAAGACUCAGAACUCAUCCUGAGAUGCACUGCCCUCAAACACAUGUUCAUGCUCACCGCCGCCUCCGGUCACUUCUCCUGCAAGGGGACACAGAGGGAGACCGGCUUCUGGAACUGGAUGAUGAAGAUGAGGAGGAGGAAGAAGAGGAAGAGGAGGAACAUCUUCUGGACCGUCCAGAGGAACUGCAGCUGGACCUGUAAUAAAGGGCACAGGAAUGAUGGUAGUGGGACAGAUAGGUCCACCACCUCAGCCAGGUCAGACUCCCUCCCUGUCAGGAUGUUCAGGACCAUAGAGAAAGGGAAGCGGAAGUUUCAGAAGAGUUUAUUUGCAGGUAACGAGUGGGAGAGCCUUCAUAAAAUUUUAGAUACAUCAAGCAUUUUUACAGUUUUACAUAUUUUUACUACCCUUUUCCCUGAGAUGGGGGCCUUACUACAUAGCCCAAGCCGGCCUUCAACUUGUGAUUCUCUUAUCCCUGUCUUUGCCAGCACUGGGAUUGUGCUGCCAUCCCUAGUAUGCAGAGUUCUUCUCUUGGUGCUGAGGACUAUGCCAUGGCCUUCUGCAUCCUUG
Molecule: long non-coding RNA, 677 nt
Filed under: Rattus norvegicus (Norway rat)
Lineage: Eukaryota; Metazoa; Chordata; Mammalia; Rodentia; Muridae
Description: long non-coding RNA NONRATT003855
Source: RNAcentral